UACGAAGGGGGCUAGCGUUGCUCGGAAUCACUGGGCGUAAAGCGCAUGUAGGCGGAUUGUUAAGUCAGGGGUGAAAUCCUGGAGCUCAACUCCAGAACUGCCUUUGAUACUGGCGAUCUUGAGUCCGGGAGAGGUGAGUGGAACUGCGAGUGUAGAGGUGAAAUUCGUAGAUAUUCGCAAGAACACCAGUGGCGAAGGCGGCUCACUGGCCCGGUACUGACGCUGAGGUGCGAAAGCGUGGGGAGCAAACAGG
This 253-nucleotide ribosomal RNA is filed under the name uncultured bacterium. RNAcentral's name for it is "partial 16S ribosomal RNA". It matches the Rfam family "Bacterial small subunit ribosomal RNA", at positions 524 to 776 of the family's 1533-position model. The record is from RNAcentral.